RNAcentral lists this ribosomal RNA (254 nucleotides) under uncultured bacterium. Its description in RNAcentral is "partial 16S ribosomal RNA". It matches the Rfam family "Bacterial small subunit ribosomal RNA", at positions 524 to 776 of the family's 1533-position model. The record is from RNAcentral.
UACGAGUGCUUCGAGCGUUAUCCGAAAUCAUUGGGCGUAAAGGGUGUGUAGGCGGCAUUAUUAGUCUCGCGUAAAAUCUUUCGGCUCAACCGAGAGUCUGCGUGGGAAACGGUAGUGCUAAGAGGAUGGAAGAGGUCUCUGGAACUCAUGGUGUAGCGGUAAAAUGCGUUGAUAUCAUGGGGAACACCAAAAGCGAAGGCAAGAGACUGGUCCACUCCUGACGCUGAAACACGAAAGCGUGGGUCGCGAAUGGG